UCGACGGUAACAGAAAUCAGCUUGCUGAUUUGCUGACGAGUGGCGGACGGGUGAGUAAUGUCUGGGAAACUGCCUGAUGGAGGGGGAUAACUACUGGAAACGGUAGCUAAUACCGCAUAACGUCGCAAGACCAAAGAGGGGGACCUUCGGGCCUCUUGCCAUCGGAUGUGCCCAGAUGGGAUUAGCUAGUAGGUGGGGUAACGGCUCACCUAGGCGACGAUCCCUAGCUGGUCUGAGAGGAUGACCAGCCACGCUGGAACUGAGACACGGUCCAGACUCCUACGGGAGGCAGCAGUGGGGAAUAUUGCACAAUGGGCGCAAGCCUGAUGCAGCCAUGCCGCGUGUAUGAAGAAGGCCUUCGGGUUGUAAAGUACUUUCAGCGGGGAGGAAGGGAGUAAAGUUAAUACCUUUGCUCAUUGACGUUACCCGCAGAAGAAGCACCGGCUAACUCCGUGCCAGCAGCCGCGGUAAUACGGAGGGUGCAAGCGUUAAUCGGAAUUACUGGGCGUAAAGCGCACGCAGGCGGUUUGUUAAGUCAGAUGUGAAAUCCCCGGGCUCAACCUGGGAACUGCAUCUGAUACUGGCAAGCUUGAGUCUCGUAGAGGGGGGUAGAAUUCCAGGUGUAGCGGUGAAAUGCGUAGAGAUCUGGAGGAAUACCGGUGGCGAAGGCGGCCCCCUGGACGAAGACUGACGCUCAGGUGCGAAAGCG
This 709-nucleotide ribosomal RNA is filed under the name uncultured bacterium. RNAcentral describes it as "bacterial SSU rRNA". It matches the Rfam family "Bacterial small subunit ribosomal RNA", at positions 62 to 761 of the family's 1533-position model. The record is from RNAcentral.